This is a long non-coding RNA of Betta splendens (Siamese fighting fish), 839 nucleotides long. RefSeq lists it as uncharacterized. The record is from RefSeq and is a predicted model, not a curated record. The transcript is spliced from 2 exons. NCBI's taxonomy places the organism in Eukaryota, Metazoa, Chordata, Actinopteri, Anabantiformes, Osphronemidae.
CAAACGGUGAUGGAAGUCGCUCCUUCGCGUGUCUUUGGCGCGUCGACCUUUGAACCCUCUUCAAACAUCCGGCGCGGAUCCUCAAGGACGGCACGUGGUCGCGACGCCCACGCAAUCUCCAAACUCUGGCGCCGCACGUACAUGUUGCCGUGGCCCCGGUGAGACAUUGGGACAGGAAACCUACUUCUGGAGCAGCCCUGGAGGACAGGUGUGUGCUGAGCCGCAGGGAGCGACCCGGCGAUUCCCUCCAGCCGCUGAGCCGGGCUUUGAGAGCCACUAAGCAGGUUUCAAGGGCUCUCAUUACCAACACCUUCAUGUAAAGCUGUUCACCGCCGCCUCAAGCCGUCGGCAGAAGAACCCUAAAUUGAGUGCUACAGCGCAGAUGAUGGAUGGCCUUGUCUGGGAUACAGAUGGCUCCUGCAGGGGGGGGGUCCCGCUCCCUUUGGGACGAGUCAGCUGGGCCGGAGACCACAUGUUGACAGCCAGAACCUAGUUGCCGUGUAACACGAGGCCCCAACGAACAGCUCGGAGACCAUGCGUGUCUCUGAGAUGUUGUACCAGCGCCACACAAUCAAUAAAGCAGCCAAGUGGAACACUAACAGCGUCAACGUGCAUUUUAUCCCUCCUCGUCUGUGCAUAGUCAUGUGCAAUUUAAGCCUCCCCCUGGAAAUACUGUACAUUCUCUAAUGCCAUCCCUCAUCUCAAAACUGCUGUGCCAUAACAAUAACAAUGCUACAUCAAUAUAAAAUAAAGUGGAGUAACGUUAGCGAUGGGAAAUGUAAAAAAAAAGAAUAAAAACAAUACAAAUGGUUCGUGAAUAUCUGACAUCAAAACAUGAA